AACGAACGCUGGCGGCAGGCCUAACACAUGCAAGUCGAGCGAGGACUUCGGUUCUAGCGGCGGACGGGUGAGUAACGCGUGGGAAUGUGCCCUUCUCUACGGAAUAGCCCUGGGAAACUGGGAGUAAUACCGUAUACGCCCUAUUGGGGAAAGAUUUAUCGGAGAAGGAUCAGCCCGCGUUGGAUUAGGUAGUUGGUGGGGUAAUGGCCUACCAAGCCGACGAUCCAUAGCCGGUUUGAGAGGAUGAUCAGCCACACUGGGACUGAGACACGGCCCAGACUCCUACGGGAGGCAGCAGUGGGGAAUCUUAGACAAUGGGGGCAACCCUGAUCUAGCCAUGCCGCGUGAGUGAUGAAGGCCUUAGGGUUGUAAAGCUCUUUCAGCUGGGAAGAUAAUGACGGUACCAGCAGAAGAAGCCCCGGCUAACUCCGUG
This 433-nucleotide ribosomal RNA is filed under the name uncultured bacterium. RNAcentral's name for it is "partial 16S ribosomal RNA". It matches the Rfam family "Bacterial small subunit ribosomal RNA", at positions 29 to 507 of the family's 1533-position model. The record is from RNAcentral.